UUUAUUAGAGGAGCUUGUUGAUUGAUAAGAAUUUACUCUUUAUAUUUAAAUAAAAAAAAAUAGUUUAUUCAUCUCCGUUAUUAGAUAACUGUUAAUAAAAUUAAUUUUUAUAUUUCAGGUCAAGAUGUAGCAUUUUUUAUUUUUAAUUAGCUACAUUUAUGUAUGAGUGUGGAUUUUAAAAUUUAAAGUUGAAGGAAAUUGAAUUUAAUUGUAAUAUUUAUUAUAAUAUAAAUGUGAAU
Molecule: ribosomal RNA, 239 nt
Filed under: Heteromitobates inscriptus
Lineage: Eukaryota; Metazoa; Arthropoda; Arachnida; Opiliones; Gonyleptidae
Description: partial small subunit ribosomal RNA
Source: RNAcentral